UACGAAGGGGGCUAGCGUUGUUCGGAAUUACUGGGCGUAAAGCGCACGUAGGCGGACUUUUAAGUCAGGGGUGAAAUCCCGGGGCUCAACCUCGGAACUGCCUUUGAUACUGAGAGUCUCGAGACCGGAAGAGGUGAGUGGAAUUCCUAGUGUAGAGGUGAAAUUCGUAGAUAUUAGGAAGAACACCAGUGGCGAAGGCGGCUCACUGGUCCGGUUCUGACGCUGAGGUGCGAAAGCGUGGGGAGCAAACAGG
This 253-nucleotide ribosomal RNA is filed under the name uncultured bacterium. RNAcentral's name for it is "partial 16S ribosomal RNA". It matches the Rfam family "Bacterial small subunit ribosomal RNA", at positions 524 to 776 of the family's 1533-position model. The record is from RNAcentral.